GGACUUGGGAAAUUAUAUCUCCAAUAGAACCAAUGAAGGGUGGACUCGAGGUAAAAAACUAAAAAGCAUAUUUGAGCCAAAUGUGGAAGUGGAACACAAUAUAGUUUCACUAAUCGACAGUAGUCGCGUCUAGAGAAAGAAUACCAGCAACAAAAUAAUCAGAUCGAGGUAUUCAUUCCAAUUUACACUAAACAAACAGAAGGUAAACCAUCAAUUUGAAGGAGACUUGAAAGCGAGCACCAAAAGGACAGUGGAAAAAGAUAACAGCAGCAUCACCUGAAGAAUCACCUCCAUUAGGCCACAGAGCUUGAUCCUCUUACAUUUAAUUCUUUCCCUUGCCAAUUUCAUCUUCAAAUCUCUGAUUUCUUCCAUCAUCAGAUCCUUCUCCCGCAAAUAGAUUUCAAGCGCACAUAAGAAUUUUGAGUCGGACUGAAAACAAAGCCUAGGUUCAACAAUUCAAUCGAGAGCAAGAGAUACCGAGGAGUGUAUAACUGACCUCGUCUUGACCGUUGCUUGUGGUUUUGAAGUGGCGAUUUGGGAAUGCUUUCAACGAAUAAAGCAGAAUACAGACUUUGGCACAGCGAAUUGCUAUCUGCGAUCUUAGAGCUUCAUCUUUGCUCUCCAUUUGGGGCCGUUCCUUUACUCUCUCUCUCUCUCUCUCU
RNAcentral lists this unclassified non-coding RNA (662 nucleotides) under Hevea brasiliensis (rubber tree). Lineage: Eukaryota; Viridiplantae; Streptophyta; Magnoliopsida; Malpighiales; Euphorbiaceae. The record is from RNAcentral.